UGCAUGGUACCGGAGCACAGGCAACCAGCCACAUGACAGAAUGUGAGUCAAAAGCAUCGGAAGUCAGAGAGAUCUCACUUCUAGCUGAACAGCCCACCUGUCUACUUCCUUGCCUAGACAGUAUGUAGCGGUGACCCUGUGCACAAGAUGGAGUACGUGGCGUACCCAGCAGCCUGCAGCUGAUGCUGUUACCAGGGACCAGCACGAUGCACUUCAUCUGCAUAGUCACUAAUGAGAAGGCUGAGCAAACAUCCUGCAGGCCACGACUCCAGAAGACAGCGGUGCUCCUGGGACCAGUAGCCUCUAUCCAGGAAGUCUCCAGGGGAGAGAGAGAGGCCUGUGCCCAUUAUCAACUCUGCCGUCCAGUCUAGAAACUGUGGUUGGACAAGGUCAUCAUCUCCAUCCCCAGGGCCAUAUUUGUCACCCAACCACAGACAGAGCUGUCAUCACUUCACCAUCUGCUGAGCCUUCUUGUAAAGACACGGUAUCCGCAAGUGUCUACCCUCACAGUAGCUGCCUCUUUUCCCAUUGUUAUUCUCUGGGAGCCCACCCUCCAAACAGCGCAUGCCCAGCCUCCAAACAGCGCAUGCCCAGCCCAAUAAACACUGCAAAGCA
RNAcentral lists this long non-coding RNA (615 nucleotides) under Rattus norvegicus (Norway rat). Its description in RNAcentral is "long non-coding RNA NONRATT024220". Lineage: Eukaryota; Metazoa; Chordata; Mammalia; Rodentia; Muridae. The record is from RNAcentral.